GAUGAACGCUGACAGAAUGCUUAACACAUGCAAGUCAACUUGAAUUUGGGUUUUUAACUUAGGUUUGGGUGGCGGACGGGUGAGUAACGCGUAAAGAACUUGCCUCACAGCUAGGGACAACAUUUGGAAACGAAUGCUAAUACCUAAUAUUAUGAUAAUAGGGCAUCCUAUAAUUAUGAAAGCUAUAAGCGCUGUGAGAGAGCUUUGCGUCCCAUUAGCUAGUUGGAGAGGUAACGGCUCACCAAGGCGAUGAUGGGUAGCCGGCCUGAGAGGGUGAGCGGCCAAAAGGGGACUGAGACACGGCCCUUACUCCUGCGGGAGGCAGCAGUGGGGAAUAUUGGACAAUGGACCGAGAGUCUGAUCCAGCAAUUCUGUGUGCACGAUGAAGUUUUUCGGAAUGUAAAGUGCUUUCAGUUGGGAAGAAACAAAUGACGGUACCAACAGAAGAAGUGACGGCUAAAUACGUG
This 467-nucleotide ribosomal RNA is filed under the name uncultured bacterium. RNAcentral describes it as "partial 16S ribosomal RNA". It matches the Rfam family "Bacterial small subunit ribosomal RNA", at positions 28 to 507 of the family's 1533-position model. The record is from RNAcentral.